RNAcentral lists this ribosomal RNA (325 nucleotides) under uncultured bacterium. RNAcentral's name for it is "bacterial SSU rRNA". It matches the Rfam family "Bacterial small subunit ribosomal RNA", at positions 1177 to 1501 of the family's 1533-position model. The record is from RNAcentral.
GGAUGACGUCAAGUCCUCAUGGCCCUUAUAGGUGGGGCUACACACGUCAUACAAUGGCCGGUACAAAGGGCAGCCAACCCGCGAGGGGGAGCCAAUCCCAUAAAGCCGGUCGUAGUCCGGAUCGCAGUCUGCAACUCGACUGCGUGAAGUCGGAAUCGCUAGUAAUCGUGGAUCAGCAUGUCACGGUGAAUACGUUCCCGGGUCUUGUACACACCGCCCGUCACACCAUGGGAGCGGGUCUCGCCAGAAGUAGGUAGCCUAACCGCAAGGAGGGCGCUUACCACGGCGGGGUUCGUGACUGGGGUGAAGUCGUAACAAGGUAACC